UGGGGAAUUUUGGACAAUGGGCGAAAGCCUGAUCCAGCAAUGCCGCGUGUGUGAAGAAGGCCUUCGGGUUGUAAAGCACUUUUGUCCGGAAAGAAAUCCUUGGCUCUAAUACAGUCGGGGGAUGACGGUACCGGAAGAAUAAGCACCGGCUAACUACGUGCCAGCAGCCGCGGUAAUACGUAGGGUGCAAGCGUUAAUCGGAAUUACUGGGCGUAAAGCGUGCGCAGGCGGUUUGCUAAGACCGAUGUGAAAUCCCCGGGCUCAACCUGGGAACUGCAUUGGUGACUGGCAGGCUAGAGUAUGGCAGAGGGGGGUAGAAUUCCACGUGUAGUAGUGAAAUGCGUAGAGAUGUGGAGGAAUACCGAUGGCGAAGGCAGCCCCCUGGGCCAAUACUGACGCUCAUGCACGAAAGCGUGGGGAGCAAACAGGAUUAGAUACCCUGGUAGUCCACGCCCUAAACGAUGUCAACUAGUUGUUGGGGAUUCAUUUCCUUAGUAACGUAGCUAACGCGUGAAGUUGACCGCCUGGGGAGUACGGUCGCAAGAUUAAAACUCAAAUGAAUUGACGGGGUCAUAGCUG
This 579-nucleotide ribosomal RNA is filed under the name uncultured bacterium. Its description in RNAcentral is "partial 16S ribosomal RNA". It matches the Rfam family "Bacterial small subunit ribosomal RNA", at positions 355 to 932 of the family's 1533-position model. The record is from RNAcentral.